CCUCCGCUCUUCCCGCACAGAAGAGCGGACCUGGGGGCCCGGCGUCUCUGCCCUGAUCACGCCGAGCCCUCCAGAUCGGCCGGUGGGAACCGCACACCCGGCGGCCGAUGCGUCUCCGGACCGCGGUGCCGGGCGGGCUGAGGGUCCCGUGCCGGUGU
This 158-nucleotide non-coding RNA is filed under the name Streptomyces tsukubensis. Its description in RNAcentral is "Streptomyces tsukubaensis Streptomyces sRNA scr5239". It matches the Rfam family "Streptomyces sRNA scr5239". Rfam says of the family: It inhibits agarase DagA expression by direct base pairing to the dagA coding region, and it represses translation of methionine synthase metE (SCO0985) at the 5' end of its open reading frame. The record is from Rfam by way of RNAcentral. Lineage: Bacteria; Bacillati; Actinomycetota; Actinomycetes; Kitasatosporales; Streptomycetaceae.